This 64-nucleotide transfer RNA is filed under the name Todarodes pacificus (Japanese flying squid). RNAcentral's name for it is "tRNA-His". Lineage: Eukaryota; Metazoa; Mollusca; Cephalopoda; Oegopsida; Ommastrephidae. The record is from RNAcentral.
GUAAAGUUAGUUUAAUGUAAAAUGGUAAAUUGUGGCUUUGCAGAUAAAAAUUUUUUACUUUACU